This 253-nucleotide ribosomal RNA is filed under the name uncultured bacterium. Its description in RNAcentral is "partial 16S ribosomal RNA". It matches the Rfam family "Bacterial small subunit ribosomal RNA", at positions 524 to 776 of the family's 1533-position model. The record is from RNAcentral.
UACGGAGGGUGCAAGCGUUGUCCGGAAUCACUGGGCGUAAAGGGCGCGUAGGCGGCUCAUGAAGGCUGUGGUGAAAGUCCGGGGCUCAACCUCGGAUCGGCCGUGGCGACUCGUGGGCUGGAGCACUGUAGAGGCGGGUGGAAUUCCGGGUGUAGCGGUGGAAUGCGUAGAGAUCCGGAAGAACACCAGUGGCGAAGGCGGCCCGCUGGGCAGUGGCUGACGCUGAGGAGCGAAAGCUAGGGGAGCAAACGGG